Molecule: long non-coding RNA, 394 nt
Organism: Plodia interpunctella (Indianmeal moth)
Lineage: Eukaryota; Metazoa; Arthropoda; Insecta; Lepidoptera; Pyralidae
Exons: 3
Source: RefSeq, a predicted model, not a curated record
AAGCUGGCCGCAACCUAUACUUUCCCAUUUUUUCCACUAUUUUAAUAAACAAGCUUGGCCCGUGAUUUCAUUAAUGUAGUUGGAUAUGGAAUAACCUGAAUAGAUUUGGCAACAACAAAUUUAUUGUUUACUCCUGUUUAUUCUGAGGGAGCUUGUUUUGCCGAAACGAGACAUGAAUAUUUACCAGCAGAUGAACGCGUUAAGAGCCAUCGAAAUGAGACAAUAUGGGAUGUCAGAAGAAAAUAUUGGAAUUAGAUAAAUAUAUUGAACACGGUAAAAGGCUGGUUUGAUCUGAGGCUGCUACACUCUGAACUUAUCACGAACAAGCAGACAGACAAAUGCGGCAGAGGACGUUUUUUUAUAAUAUGUAAGGAUAAGCAUGGCGCACUGAUGC